Meleagris gallopavo (turkey) is the source of this 552-nucleotide non-coding RNA. NCBI's taxonomy places the organism in Eukaryota, Metazoa, Chordata, Aves, Galliformes, Phasianidae. The record is from RefSeq and is a predicted model, not a curated record.
CCCAAGCGCCCGGUGUGCAGUGGAACAGCGUCCUGCAUCCUUCCAGCAACCAGUCAGGCUUUGUGCGAGACCCAGGUUACUUGCAGAGGAAUGCUCAGAUGGCCCAGCACAGCUCUCCCCAGCCCGGCUCAGCCUUAUUUCUCCACCUGCCUUCUGGAGGACAGAUGCACGCUGCAGUGUGGCCACAUCAGCAGAACUGCAUGGGAAGCCACAGACCCCAGGCCGUGCAGCAGAGCCCUCAAGGAGCUUAUCCCGUGUGGCCCAACUGCAGCGCUCUGCCCAGUGCCAACUUCUGCAGCGCAGGGCUGGGAGGAAGUCUGAACCCGGCGGCAGCAGGGAGCCAGUUGCGUGGCAGUGUUCCUCCUCAGCUGGGGGCAGGGAUGUGCCCCCCAGCAGGUGGCAUGGCUCGCAGAGCACCAGGAGCAGCCGCCGUGUGUGCUGCUGCCAACGCCAUCCAGAGCUGGUGAGGCACGAACAUUCCCUCGGUCUCGACGUAUUCAAUCCAUUCCCUCUGUCGUAGCUGGCUUGGAAAGCCAUGGCUGCAGUAACCCA